GAGACCCCUGCCGUUAAUUGCUACCAUUAUCCGCAAGGAUGGUGGAGCUAGUUGGCGGGACUGCCGCCGCUAAGGCGGAGGAAGGAAGGGGCAACGGCAGGUCAGUAUGCCCCGAAACUCCUGGGCCACACGCGGGCUGCAAUGGUAGAGACAAUGGGUUCCUACCUCGAAAGGGGGAGGCAAUCCCCAAACUCUACCCCAGUUGUGACUGAGGGCUGCAACCCGCCCUCACGAAUCUGGAAUCCCUAGUAAUCGCAUGUCAUCACCGUGCGGUGAAUACGUCCCU
RNAcentral lists this ribosomal RNA (286 nucleotides) under uncultured crenarchaeote. RNAcentral describes it as "partial 16S rRNA". It matches the Rfam family "Archaeal small subunit ribosomal RNA", at positions 1047 to 1331 of the family's 1478-position model. Lineage: Archaea; Thermoproteati; Thermoproteota. The record is from RNAcentral.